Molecule: long non-coding RNA, 106 nt
Organism: Sinocyclocheilus grahami
Lineage: Eukaryota; Metazoa; Chordata; Actinopteri; Cypriniformes; Cyprinidae
Exons: 3
Source: RefSeq, a predicted model, not a curated record
UGAAGUCAGCUAGGGCCCACCUCAUCUCCAGCUCUGAAGGCAGCGUUCCGCAUCUUCAGGAGUUCGUAGACCUCCCCUGUUAGCCACGGCUUCUGGUUGGCCCGGA